GGAAUUGACGGGGCCCGCACAAGCGGUGAGCAUGUGGUUUAAUUCGAAGCAACGCGAAGAACCUUACCAGGUCUUGACAUCCCCUGACAACCCGAGAGAUCGGGCGUUCCCCUUCGGGGGGACAGGGUGACAGGUGGUGCAUGGUUGUCGUCAGCUCGUGUCGUGAGAUGUUGGGUUAAGUCCCGCAACGAGCGCAACCCUCGACCUUAGUUGCCAGCAUUCAGUUGGGCACUCUAAGGUGACUGCCGGCUAAAAGUCGGAGGAAGGUGGGGAUGACGUCAAAUCAUCAUGCCCCUUAUGACCUGGGCUACACACGUGCUACAAUGGUUGGUACAACGAGUUGCGAGUCGGUGACGGCGAGCUAAUCUCUUAAAGCCAAUCUCAGUUCGGAUUGUAGGCUGCAACUCGCCUACAUGAAGUCGGAAUCGCUAGUAAUCGCGGAUCAGCACGCCGCGGUGAAUACGUUCCCGGGCCUU
RNAcentral lists this ribosomal RNA (476 nucleotides) under uncultured Anoxybacillus sp. RNAcentral describes it as "bacterial SSU rRNA". It matches the Rfam family "Bacterial small subunit ribosomal RNA", at positions 906 to 1382 of the family's 1533-position model. The record is from RNAcentral. Lineage: Bacteria; Bacillati; Bacillota; Bacilli; Caryophanales; Anoxybacillaceae.